This 225-nucleotide ribosomal RNA is filed under the name uncultured bacterium. Its description in RNAcentral is "partial 16S ribosomal RNA". It matches the Rfam family "Bacterial small subunit ribosomal RNA", at positions 524 to 747 of the family's 1533-position model. The record is from RNAcentral.
GACAGAGGGUGCAAACGUUGCUCGGAAUCACUGGGCGUAAAGGGCGUGUAGGCGGGAAGGAAAGUCGGGCGUGAAAUCCCUGGGCUCAACCCAGGAACUGCACUCGAAACUUCUUUUCUUGAGUGCCGGAGAGGAAAGCGGAAUUCCUGGUGUAGAGGUGAAAUUCGUAGAUAUCAGGAGGAACACCAGUGGCGAAGGCGGCUUUCUGGACGGUAACUGGACGCU